GAGAAAGAAAAGUGAAAAAUAGGAAAGGAGCGUUAAGUAAGAUGAGUGAAUAUUAGGGUGCGAGAGGUUCCAGUUCGUCCGCCGCACUUUUCGGUUUUGGACGAUUUGGAAGCUGUCAGGCUUGACUUCACUUGGUAAAUGCUAUAGUCAAACACCAAUCAACAAGCUUCAGACAUGAUUGCCUUGGGAUGAAUAAAGUGACGCGAAAACAGUUUCAGCUUGGAUUUUUCUGUACCAAGUAACAGCUUGCCACAGAAAACGGGAUAGAAUAAUGCGUCUGAAGUCAUUGUUGACCAAUAUGAAACUACAGGGGCACAAAGACGUGUACUACAUUCCACCCUGUUUGCCAGAAGCAAUACUUGCAGUGCAGUUUCUUCCACCACAAGAACCGGAGAUGUGAACUUGUCUUAUCAAUCUGGCAGAAUUAGCCUUUACAGUUGACCAUCAACACAGAUUCCCAAGAGGCACGCAGAAGUUGCUUUGAUUUUUGUAUCUGUCCCAUUGUUUGCAAGCAUAUAUUACAACACUGAGAUAGUGGUAUGUAUUCUUAUAUUCGUUUCAAAAACAUUUGAACUCAGCAUUGUACAAUGAAGUGAUUACUAAAUCAACUAAAUUGUUUCAAAAUCUAUAAGGAAGGAGAUUGUGAAUUGUUAUUUUGUCCAUGAUGCCUAUCACCGGAAUAUACCAAUUUUGAAAAAGUAAACCAGUU
Long non-coding RNA from Vigna radiata var. radiata (mung bean), 709 nucleotides. RefSeq lists it as uncharacterized. The transcript is spliced from 3 exons. NCBI's taxonomy places the organism in Eukaryota, Viridiplantae, Streptophyta, Magnoliopsida, Fabales, Fabaceae. The record is from RefSeq and is a predicted model, not a curated record.